AUUGAACGCUGGCGGCAUGCCUUACACAUGCAAGUCGAACGGCAGCACGGGUGCUUGCACCUGGUGGCGAGUGGCGAACGGGUGAGUAAUACAUCGGAACGUACCUUAUCGUGGGGGAUAACGCAGCGAAAGUUGCGCUAAUACCGCAUACGCCCUGAGGGGGAAAGCGGGGGACCGUAAGGCCUCGCGCGAUUAGAGCGGCCGAUGUCUGAUUAGCUUGUUGGUGAGGUAAAAGCUCACCAAGGCGAUGAUCAGUAGCUGGUCUGAGAGGACGAUCAGCCCCCCUGGGACUGGGACACGGCCCAGACUCCUACGGGAGGCAGCAGUGGGGAAUUUUGGACAAUGGGGGCAACCCUGAUCCAGCAAUGCCGCGUGAGUGAAGAAGGCCUUCGGGUUGUAAAGCUCUUUUGUCAGGGAAGAAACAGCAGCUCUAACACAGUCUGCGAAUGACGGUACCUGAAGAAUAAGCACCGGCUAACUACGUGCCAGCAGCCGCCGUAA
RNAcentral lists this ribosomal RNA (501 nucleotides) under uncultured bacterium. RNAcentral's name for it is "partial 16S ribosomal RNA". It matches the Rfam family "Bacterial small subunit ribosomal RNA", at positions 30 to 523 of the family's 1533-position model. The record is from RNAcentral.